Molecule: ribosomal RNA, 495 nt
Filed under: uncultured Glomeromycotina
Lineage: Eukaryota; Fungi; Glomeromycota
Description: partial small subunit ribosomal RNA
Rfam family: Eukaryotic small subunit ribosomal RNA
Source: RNAcentral
CCAAUAGCGUAUAUUAAAGUUGUUGUGGUUAAAAAGCUCGUAGUUGAACCUUGGGCCUGGCUGGCCGGUCCGCCUCACCGCGUGUACUGGUCCGGCCGGGCCUUUCCCUCUGUGGAACCCCAUGCCCUUCACUGGGCGUGGCGGGGAAACAGGACUUUUACUGUGAAAAAAUUAGCGUGCUCCAGGCAGGCCUAUGCUCGAAUACAUUAGCAUGGAAUAAUAGAAUAGGACGUGUGGUUCUAUUUUGUUGGUUUCUAGGACCGCCGUAAUGAUUAAUAGGGACAGGCGGGGGCAUCAGGAUUCAAUUGGCAGAGGUGAAAUUCUUGGAUUUAUUGAAGACUAACUACUGCGAAAGCAUUUGCCAAGGAUGUUUUCAUUAAUCAGGAACGAAAGUUAGGGGAUCGAAGACGAUCAGAUACCGUCGUAGUCUUAACCAUAAACUAUGCCGACUAGGGAUCGGAAGGUGUUAUUUUUUGACCCGUUCGGCACCUUACG